This 918-nucleotide long non-coding RNA is filed under the name Homo sapiens (human). RNAcentral describes it as "HSALNT0349486". The record is from RNAcentral. Lineage: Eukaryota; Metazoa; Chordata; Mammalia; Primates; Hominidae.
CGGGCGUUCCAAUGCUUUCUCCCAGGAAGUGGGCUCUGCAGGCUGGAGUUGCCCUAGUGUCAGGGUGAAGGCUGGGAGCCAACGUCUAAUCAUCAAGGUGAUGGAACUCUGAGGGCUGAAGGGAUGUUAAGGCACUGAGGGCCAGAGCACUUGUUCUCAUCAGCAUCAUCAUCAGCCUCAGCAUCAUUGUCACCGUAAUCAGCAUCAUUGGCAUCAGCAUCAUCAGCAUCACCACCCUCAUCAUCAUCAGUAGCAUCAAUAUCACUAUCAUCAGCAUUAGCAUCAGCAUCAUCAGCAGCAUCAGCACCAUCAGCAUCAUCGUCAUCAGGAUCAUCAGCAUCAUCAGCAGCAUCACCACCAUUAUCAGCAUCAGGAUCACCAUCUAACAUUUUUUGAGGGCUUCAAAUGCACAAGGCACUGGGCUGAUUUCUUUACAUGCAUUGUCUCACUUGUUUCCAACAAUGACAGCCCCCAAAGGAGGGAGACAGGAGUGUCAGCUGAGAGAGAAGACAUAAGAACGAAAGCGGAGGUUGGAGUGAUGUGCUUUGAAGACGGAGGAAGAGGCCAUAAGCCAAGGAAUGUAGGUUAUCCCUAGAAGCUGGAAAAGACAAGAAAACAAAUCCUUUUCUAGAGCCUCCAGAAGAAAAGGGCUCUGCUUACACCUUGAUUUUAGCCCAGUGAAACAGAUUUUGAACUUCUGACAUCUAGUACUGUAAGAUAAUACAUUUGCAUGAUUUUUACACCCUAAAAUGUGUUACAUUGUUAUAUCAGCAGUAGAAAUUUAAUACCAAAAGAUUACUGGGUGAGAUAGAAAGCUAGUUAAUGUCCAACAGGGCUAUCAACUAUAACCCUUGGAGCUAAUUCUUCUACCAGAGUUAAAUUAUUUGCUUCUCUGCGGGACCAAAAUUUACAAGUAAA